UGUAACAUGACCAUAAAAUACAUGAUGUCUU
Molecule: non-coding RNA, 31 nt
Filed under: Mus musculus (house mouse)
Lineage: Eukaryota; Metazoa; Chordata; Mammalia; Rodentia; Muridae
Source: RNAcentral